Molecule: ribosomal RNA, 210 nt
Filed under: uncultured bacterium
Lineage: Bacteria
Description: partial 16S ribosomal RNA
Rfam family: Bacterial small subunit ribosomal RNA
Source: RNAcentral
UACGUAGGGUGCAAGCGUUAAUCGGAAUUACUGGGCGUCAAGCGUGCGCAGGCGGUUUUGUAAGACUGUCGUGAAAGCCCCGGGCUCAACCUGGGAAUUGCGAUGGAGACUGCAAGGCUUGAAUCUGGCAGAGGGGGGUAGAAUUCCACGUGUAGCAGUGAAAUGCGUAGAGAUGUGGAGGAACACCGAUGGCGAAGGCAGCCCCCUGGG